UACGUAGGGUGCGAGCGUUAAUCGGAAUUACUGGGCGUAAAGCGUGCGCAGGCGGUUCGUUGUGUCUGAUGUGAAAGCCCCGGGCUCAACCUGGGAAUGGCAUUGGAAACUGGCGAGCUAGAGUGUGGCAGAGGGGGGUGGAAUUCCGCGUGUAGCAGUGAAAUGCGUAGAGAUGCGGAGGAACACCAGUGGCGAAGGCGGUUGCCUGGAGCUUUGCUGACGCUGAGGCGCGAAAGCGUGGGGAGCGAUCCGG
RNAcentral lists this ribosomal RNA (253 nucleotides) under uncultured bacterium. Its description in RNAcentral is "partial 16S ribosomal RNA". It matches the Rfam family "Bacterial small subunit ribosomal RNA", at positions 524 to 776 of the family's 1533-position model. The record is from RNAcentral.